RNAcentral lists this ribosomal RNA (504 nucleotides) under uncultured bacterium. RNAcentral's name for it is "partial 16S ribosomal RNA". It matches the Rfam family "Bacterial small subunit ribosomal RNA", at positions 30 to 523 of the family's 1533-position model. The record is from RNAcentral.
AUUGAACGCUGGCGGCAGGCCUAACACAUGCAAGUCGAACGGUAGCACAGAGAGCUUGCUCUCGGGUGACGAGUGGCGGACGGGUGAGUAACGUCUGGGAAACUGCCCGAUGGAGGGGGAUAACUACUGGAAACGGUAGCUAAUACCGCAUAACGUCGCAAGACCAAAGUGGGGGACCUUCGGGCCUCACACCAUCGGAUGUGCCCAGAUGGGAUUAGCUAGUAGGUGGGGUAAUGGCUCACCUAGGCGACGAUACCUAGCUGGUCUGAGAGGAUGACCAGCAACACUGGAAGUGAGACACGGUCCAGAGUCCUACGGGAGGCAGCAGUGGGGAAUAUUGCACAAUGGGCGCAAGCCUGAUGCAGCCAUGCCGCGUGUAUGAAGAAGGCCUUCGGGUUGUAAAGUACUUUCAGCGGGGAGGAAGGCGGUGAAGUUAAUAGUUUCACCGAUUGACGUUACCCGCAGAAGAAGCACCGGCUAACUCCGUGCCAGCCGCCGCAGUAA